Molecule: transfer RNA, 141 nt
Filed under: Fusarium falciforme
Lineage: Eukaryota; Fungi; Ascomycota; Sordariomycetes; Hypocreales; Nectriaceae
Rfam family: tRNA
About the family: Transfer RNA (tRNA) molecules are approximately 80 nucleotides in length. Their secondary structure includes four short double-helical elements and three loops (D, anti-codon, and T loops).
Source: Rfam by way of RNAcentral
GGCCGCGUGGCCUAAUGGCUAAGGCGCUAGAUUUCGGUUGUCACGAAAUCCUCUAGAGAUUCCAGGUUAGUACCAAACAUCACCGAUCAACAUCAGCAUCAUCUAACGAACUCCCCUUAGGUUCGAAUCCUGGCGUGGUCG